UGAUCCACACCAACUGGUUACACCAGGAAACCCCUGUUUCCUGUUCUGAGGCAGCAGCAGCACAUACCCAGUAAUUCUUCCCUAGCCCUGGCAGGCUCACCUCACAGAGCAGGACUCUGAAGUUGAAGAACAAGAUAUUUUCCUUCUAGUGGAAGACCUCAAACAUGUUGCUUUCCAGCCUUCUGAAGAUGGUCAUGGCUUCAAUGUGGCUAGGAUCCAGCAUUUGCCAGAAGGUAACUCAAUCCCAACCAGCAAUGUCAGUGCAGGAGAUGGAGGCUGUGACCCUGAACUGCACCUAUGACACCAGUUCUGGCACUUACAGUCUAUUCUGGUACAAGCAGCCCAGCAGCGGGGCAAUGAUUUUCCUUAUUCGUCAGGACUCUUACCAGCAAAAUGCCACAGAAGGUCGCUAUUCAUUGAAUUUCCAGAAGGCAAAAAAAUCCAUCAACCUUGUCAUCUCAGCUGCACAGCUGGAGGACUCUGCAGUGUAUUUCUGUGCACUGAUUGAGCCCACAGUGAGAGAUGUGUUGGAGGGAGGAGUGCAGAAACCCCAGGGCUCUGCUUGA
Equus caballus (horse) is the source of this 566-nucleotide non-coding RNA. The record is from the annotation of a RefSeq genome assembly. NCBI's taxonomy places the organism in Eukaryota, Metazoa, Chordata, Mammalia, Perissodactyla, Equidae.